GGGGAUGUAGCUCAGUGGUAGACGCAUGCUUUGCAUGUAUGAGGCCCUGGUUCAAUCCCCGGCAUCUCCA
RNAcentral lists this transfer RNA (70 nucleotides) under Perca fluviatilis (European perch). It matches the Rfam family "tRNA". Rfam says of the family: Transfer RNA (tRNA) molecules are approximately 80 nucleotides in length. Their secondary structure includes four short double-helical elements and three loops (D, anti-codon, and T loops). The record is from Rfam by way of RNAcentral. Lineage: Eukaryota; Metazoa; Chordata; Actinopteri; Perciformes; Percidae.